UUGGAGGGCAAGUCUGGUGCCAGCAGCCGCGGUAAUUCCAGCUCCAAUAGCGUAUAUUAAAGUUGUUGCAGUUAAAAAGCUCGUAGUUGAAUUUCGGGGUCAGUAGGUUGGUCGUGCCACUGGUACGUACUGGUCUCACUGAUUCCUCCUUCCUGAUGAACCGUAAUGCCAUUAAUUUGGUGUUGCGGGGAGACUGGACUGUUACUUUGAAAAAAUUAGAGUGUUUAAAGCAGGCUAACGCUUGAAUACAUUAGCAUGGAAUAAUGAAAUAGGACGUUCGAUCCUAUUUUGUUGGUUUCUAGGAUUGACGUAAUGAUUAAUAGGGAUAGUUGGGGGCAUUAGUAUUCAAUUGUCAGAGGUGAAAUUCUUGGAUUUAUUGAAGACUAACUACUGCGAAAGCAUUUGCCAAGGAUGUUUUCAUUAAUCAAGAACGAAAGUUAGGGGAUCGAAGACGAUCAGAUACCGUCGUAGUCUUAACCAUAAACUAUGCCGACUAGGGAUCGGAUGAUGUUAAUUUUUUAAUGACUCAUUCGGCGCCUUACGGGAAACCAAAGUGUUUGGGUUC
This 565-nucleotide ribosomal RNA is filed under the name uncultured Glomeromycotina. Its description in RNAcentral is "SSU rRNA". It matches the Rfam family "Eukaryotic small subunit ribosomal RNA", at positions 548 to 1114 of the family's 1831-position model. Lineage: Eukaryota; Fungi; Glomeromycota. The record is from RNAcentral.